Molecule: ribosomal RNA, 386 nt
Filed under: uncultured bacterium
Lineage: Bacteria
Description: bacterial SSU rRNA
Rfam family: Bacterial small subunit ribosomal RNA
Source: RNAcentral
AUUAAACGCUGGCGGCAUGCCUUACACAUGCAAGUCGAACGGUAGCGCGGGGCAACCUGGCGACGAGUGGCGAACGGGUGAGUAAAGCAUCGGAACGUGCCCUGGAAUGGGGGAUAACGUAGCGAAAGUUACGCUAAUACCGCAUAUUCUGUGAGCAGGAAAGCAGGGGAUCGCAAGACCUUGCGUUCUGGGAGCGGCCGAUGUCGGAUUAGCUAGUUGGUGGGGUAAAAGCCUACCAAGGCGACGAUCCGUAGCGGGUCUGAGAGGAUGAUCCGCCACACUGGGACUGAGACACGGCCCAGACUCCUACGGGAGGCAGCAGUGGGGGAAUUUUUGGACAAUGGGCGGAAGCCUGAUCCAGCCAUGCCGCGUGAGUGAAGAAGGCC